GGAGAGGUACCCAAGUUGGCCAAAGGGUACCUCUCCACAAUUUAUUAUUUUAAAUCUGUUGUCUCAGACUUCACUGGUUCGAAUCCAGUCCUCUCCACCA
This 100-nucleotide transfer RNA is filed under the name Bacillota bacterium. RNAcentral describes it as "Firmicutes bacterium (anaerobic digester metagenome) tRNA-OTHER". It matches the Rfam family "tRNA". Rfam says of the family: Transfer RNA (tRNA) molecules are approximately 80 nucleotides in length. Their secondary structure includes four short double-helical elements and three loops (D, anti-codon, and T loops). The record is from RNAcentral. Lineage: Bacteria; Bacillati; Bacillota.